Molecule: ribosomal RNA, 492 nt
Filed under: uncultured bacterium
Lineage: Bacteria
Description: partial 16S ribosomal RNA
Rfam family: Bacterial small subunit ribosomal RNA
Source: RNAcentral
GAUGAACGCUCGCUACAGGCUUAACACAUGCAAGUCGAGGGGAAACGGCAUCGAAAGCUUGCUUUUUAUGGGCGUCGACCGGCGCACGGGUGAGUAACGCGUAUCCAACCUGCCCAUCACUUGGGAAUAACCUUGCGAAAGUAAGACUAAUGCCCAAUGACAUCCCACGAAGGCAUCCGAAUGGGAUUAAAGAUUUAUCGGUGAUGGAUGGGGAUGCUUCUGAUUAGCUUGUUGGCGGGGUGACGGCCCACCAAGGCAACGAUCAGUAGGCGUUCUGAGAGGAAGGUCCCCCACAUUGGAACUGAGACACGGUCCAAACUCCUACGGGAGGCAGCAGUGAGGAAUAUUGGUCAAUGGGCGAGAGCCUGAACCAGCCAAGUAGCGUGCAGGAUGACGGCCCUAUGGGUUGUAAACUGCUUUUAUAAGGGAAUAAAGUGGGUCACGUGUGACUUUUUGCAUGUACCUUAUGAAUAAGAACCGGCUAAUUCCGUG